AGACAGAUGGAAUGAAUCACUUCUAAUGUUACAUAUGUGACUCCCAAGAUGUCAAGAGCAAAUAUAUCUAGAGUUUGACAUGAUACAUUUCUGGUUGAGCUACAGUUGGAUCUGACAUGCACAUGCACUCAGGGCCUCAUUCCACUCCUAAGCAUCCUGGUGCAAUGACCAUGGACCCAGGUCUCCCUGUCAAAGGGUCUGGACAUUAUUACUGAUUCUUUCCUUGGAUCUGUGGCUAUAGGAAUUGGCUCAAGCAAUUAAGAAGACCAAGAAGUCCCCCAGCAUGCCACCUACAAGUUAGAAAACCAGAAAAGCUGGUUUGAGUCUGUGUAUAAAAUGAGAGUUCCUGUGGCCAGGAUUCUCACCUGGCUGUGGUUGACUAGCUCACUGGACACCUGUGGGCAAUACAUGACUGUUGACUCUAUAAAAAGAGCUCUGCCCAGUACUCUGGGCAUGACACGGUGGCAGGGCUGCAAGACUGCAGGAGAGCAGAGCAGAGGCUGGAGUGGGCAGUGCCGAAGACAGAGAACCAGAGGACGGCUGUGUGGGACUGCUGUGCAGAGAGGCCCAGAGGAUGGCUGUGUGGGAUGGCUGUGCGGGACAACUGUGCAGACAGAGGGGCCCAGGAUGGCUGUGUGGACAGAGGGGCCCAGAGGCAGAGACCAGCUUGCUGCAUGCAGACUCACUCUGAGUGAACGGAAUUUUAGUGACUGACCUGCCAUCUGGA
Long non-coding RNA from Manis pentadactyla (Chinese pangolin), 727 nucleotides. RefSeq lists it as uncharacterized. The record is from RefSeq and is a predicted model, not a curated record. NCBI's taxonomy places the organism in Eukaryota, Metazoa, Chordata, Mammalia, Pholidota, Manidae. The transcript is spliced from 3 exons.